Molecule: ribosomal RNA, 209 nt
Filed under: uncultured Pseudomonas sp.
Lineage: Bacteria; Pseudomonadati; Pseudomonadota; Gammaproteobacteria; Pseudomonadales; Pseudomonadaceae
Description: partial 16S ribosomal RNA
Rfam family: Bacterial small subunit ribosomal RNA
Source: RNAcentral
UGGGGAUGACGUCAAGUCAUCAUGGCCCUUACGGCCUGGGCUACACACGUGCUACAAUGGUCGGUACAAAGGGUUGCCAAGCCGCGAGGUGGAGCUAAUCCCAUAAAACCGAUCGUAGUCCGGAUCGCAGUCUGCAACUCGACUGCGUGAAGUCGGAAUCGCUAGUAAUCGUGAAUCAGAAUGUCACGGUGAAUACGUUCCCGGGCCUU